GAAAGUGAUGGCUUUAUUUGCUUUACUGAUUAAAAACAGCCCAGGAGGUCACAUACCUACCAGAAUCUAACCCCCACCCCAGCCUCUCUUUCUUGGUUUCUUGCACUUCCAUUGAGAAGUGGCCGGGGCUUCGGUGGCAGCCUGGCAGGACGGACGGUGGUAGGUGUGGGCGUCAGGGAACUGCUGUUGGGAGCCGAAGUGCUGGGUUUGCGUUCCGGCUCCUGGUUUCACUUAAGUGACUCUGUGACCGUGGGCUGUGUUCUCAAUUAGUGCCACAGAUUCUUCCUGAGGAAGGCAGCUCUGAGCAGGAGCUCCUGGUAAAUCUGAAGGACUCGGCCGGAGAAGUGCUGAACUGUGGAUGUGUCAAACCUGGUCGCUGAGCUGAAAUCCCUUUUCCUGCUGGGACUAUGUGUCUACACUACACACAUGGCAGAGCUGGGUGUCUCUGGAUAUCGGUUGAAGUCCUAAAGCCGAGGACAGUAGACAGGUUUCUCACCGAACUUGGAGCUCAUCAAUUCAGCUAAAUUGGUUGGCCAGCAAGUCCUGGGAUCUGCCUAUCUCUGCCUCUACCCCAGCUAGAGCCCUCAUAGGUCCCUGGGAUUCAACGUGGAUCCUCAGGUGUAUGUUUGUUUUGGCUCAGCUCUGAGCUCUCUGGGAACUCAAAGUCCUGACUAACGGCAUUGUUGGACCUGGGUGCCUCUGAGGAAGAUCUGUCUGAGAAAGAAGAGAUAGAGCUGAGAUGUUAAAUGUUUCCAACAAAAGCUAUCAGGGCAGAAUGUCCUGACUCAGCACUUCCCGGCAUUUUUUGAGGUUUUGUCCACAGACAAUGUACAGUUACUCCUUUUUGAGCAUGUGGUUUUCUUUAUUUAGUUUUUCCUCCCUUAAGCUUAUGGGUUUUCAUUGACGAGAUGGUUGUGCAAGUCUGAGGUGCAGGCACUGCCCGGAAGCUGGUAAGUGGAUGGUGGCUACUUACUCUCAGUGCCAGGGGACACCUAAGCGUGGCUCCUGACUCUCGGUGGCAGGCAGAGCUGCUGUCACUUGUGGAUCCCUGAGCUGGACUCCCGGCAGCUCCGGCUCUUGGGUUCUGUCCCUUGCUACCACUGUGGAGCUCUAGUUUGUUGACUUAUGAGUCACACGGUCCUUGGCUUGUGUGAUGGCUUGAGCCGUAUCUUCCCACCCUGGUGUGUUGAAGUCUCCAUGCCCAGUAUGACAGGAUGUGACCAGAUUAUUGCAAGACAUUGUUCCUGUUCAGCUUUGCCACUCUUGGGAGUUAAUAAUCUAAUCAGAGGCAGAAAGCCCUCAUAGGAAACAGUUCACAAGGCAAGGCAUUAGAGAAUUUCAGGACCGCAGGAUCUGUGCCCCGAUGCAGACAAGCAGAACUAAUGUUAGCAUCUCCUUAGACCCUACUAGGUUCCCAGAAAGCCAUUGUCUGGGCUUUCUCCCUAGACUUGUUUCAACAGCAUUUCUGACACCUUGAGUUAGUUGGUGAGUUUUCUUCUUUGCAAAAUUAGGUUUACUCGCACGGAUGCCACACUUGUUAAGAGAAUGAGCAAGCAGAGGGAGACCAACUGUACCAUCACGAGAACAAGGUGUCUCCUCAUCGCCCAGGGAAGAUGUAGCUGGUUUAUGGAAGAAGAAUCCCAUGGGUGGACAAACACUUGAAGCUCACCAACAGGACCCGACACUCACCACCGAGGGGUUAGAAAGGACUGCCCAUGGCCUCUGACAUAAGGAGGCUUUUUUUGUCUAGAGGACCUCAUCUGCCAAAGUGGGCUGGGAGAGGCCACCUGAGACUAACAGUGGCUUGCCAGGUGUUAAAGAAGCACUAGAACCUGAUCCUCGCUUGCAGUCCCGUUUGUGGGGCUCCCCUGCUUCCAGCACUCCUCUGCUUCCGAGAGUUCCCUUUCUCUCCUUUCAUUUUCUGUAAGGUCAAAGAUAAAGACCUGGCUUCAGGGUCCCACCACAGACAAGCUGUGCAACCGUUCAUGAGAUUUCAAGCUUGCUUGGACUCAGCUCCUUCAUUUUUGUAAACCAGAAAAGUAAGACCUGCUUUUAAAUGCUUCUGGCCUCAGAUCUAAAUGGAAGCCAGAACAGCCCGUCUCUCAUAACAGAGAGUGAUUGGUCAACGUCAGCCACGUUCGUGCUGGUGAUUUGACUCUGGUAUGGGCAUCUGGGGCCAAUGGUGGCUCUUGGUAGCUGGUCUUGAAAUUCAUUUUGGGAAAGGUACUGCCCACUUUCUUAGAGUGUUGGGGGUGGCGCUGAGCUCUGAGAAGCUGGACCUGAAGAAGAGUCUAGCCAAGAGAUCUCGGAUUUCUCCAGAGUUCAUGGGCGGAGCAGAGCCUGAACAUUCAUGCUGUGACAAGAGGCACAAUGGCUGCUUGGGCCCACAUUACCUCUUGUCUUCCACCACUGGCCUGAGCCAAUACAAUCAACCGCUCCACUCUCUCCCACUUGGUAACCUGAAAACUUCUGAGGAUCUAUGAUAACCACUUUGUCAUUACUGAGGAGAAAAUGAACAAAAAAGACAGCCACUGGCAUAGGGAAGGGUCAGGCAAGGGCAAGUCUCCAAAAUUUGGCAGAAAGGGUUGGGGUCUGAAAAACAAAUGUAACUAAGCAAGGAGUCUGUCCUUCUUCCUUCUACUCCCCAUGCCCUCUCUGGACUCCUAUUCCAAGAUCUUUAAUUUUGAAAUUUUAAACAAGAAAGUGUAUUAAUCUUCAAGAGCUCUCAUUAAUCACCAUGCCUGGCCCAGUGGUGAGGGAGAAAGAGAGAGAUGACUCACUUCUACAGUUGAUUUCUUGGUAAUGGAGGGUCAGGGCCUGCCCUUACAUUACCCCUUUGUCGAACUAAUGGAGAAAACUCUCACUUAGGAAGCACCCAUUCUGGAGCAAUUUUUCAGUGGAAGAUUGCAGACAGUAAUAGCCACCGACAAGAAAAGAUUUCCCUUAGGGAAACGAGAGUGAGUGGCUUGGCAGAAUCAUGAGAAACACAGACCUUGCCCUGGAGAGUUGUGGGGUUCGAUGGCAGGGUUGAGUAAGGCAUAAGCUUCAGUAUGUGGCAUAUGAAGUGCAUCUUCAACAAACAGUGAACCUUUACCACAUCCCUUCUUGGUGCCAGGCACUGUGAGGGCCUUCUUUCUGUCAUCGUUUGAUCAGUAUGUGACAGGUGGCAUCACGUCCCCUGGUUUACUGAUACGAAUUCUGACAUGCAUGCCAAGCGACUUGUUAAAUACGACUUUUCUCAUUGCUGUAAUAAAAUACCCAACAAAGAAAGCAACUUAAGGCAGGCAUGGCUUAUCUUGGCUUACCGUUUGAGGGGCUACAGUCUUCACAGCGGAGGGUGCAGGAGUCAGCUGGCUCUAUUACAUUUAGUGAGGAAGAAGAGAGAAAUGCAUGUUGGGAUUCCACUCGCUUUCUACUUUUUCUUCAGUCUGGGAUCCCAGAUCACGGGAUGUUGCUGCUCACAUGCAGGGGGAUCCUCUUCAGGUAAAUCUCUACGGAACGAACACCCUCACAGACACACCCAGAGAGGCAUCUUCUAGGUGCAUCUCCAUAUCUAGUCAAGCUGACGAUGGAGUCCGACGGUCAAGGUUGCCUAAGGCCUCACAGCUGGAGGAAAAUCCACAGAACUCGUAGUUCCUGUGUGGAGAUGAACGUCUUUCAAGGUGAAGAGUUUGCAUUUAAAACAUAAAACCAC
RNAcentral lists this small RNA (3694 nucleotides) under Rattus norvegicus (Norway rat). Its description in RNAcentral is "uncharacterized LOC102550768". The record is from RNAcentral. Lineage: Eukaryota; Metazoa; Chordata; Mammalia; Rodentia; Muridae.